This is a non-coding RNA of Erysipelotrichaceae bacterium MTC7, 333 nucleotides long. It matches the Rfam family "Bacterial RNase P class B". From Rfam's summary of the family: Ribonuclease P (RNase P) is a ubiquitous endoribonuclease, found in archaea, bacteria and eukarya as well as chloroplasts and mitochondria. Its best characterised activity is the generation of mature 5'-ends of tRNAs by cleaving the 5'-leader elements of precursor-tRNAs. Lineage: Bacteria; Bacillati; Bacillota; Erysipelotrichia; Erysipelotrichales; Erysipelotrichaceae. The record is from Rfam.
AACGCAGGGUAAUCGCUGCUUGCAAAAGUAGAGGAAAGUCCAUGCUCGCACAGUCUGUGAUGACUGUAGUGUUUGUGCUAGAUGAAAAAAUAAAUCUAGGUAGCGUAAGCUAACGGCUGACAAGAUCCUAAGGGCAACUAUGGAUAGCGUCUUUAAAAGUGCCACAGUGACGAUGCUUUAUGGAAACGUAAAGACUGGAACGGGUAAACCCCACAAGCGAGAAACCCAAAUUUUGGUAGGGGAACUCUAGCGAACAAAACGAAGUUCAAUAGGGACACGUAAGUGUAGAUAAAUGGUUACCACUCUUCGGAGUACAGAACAUGGCUUAUAUGC